RNAcentral lists this transfer RNA (81 nucleotides) under Trametes versicolor. Its description in RNAcentral is "tRNA-Ser". It matches the Rfam family "tRNA". Rfam says of the family: Transfer RNA (tRNA) molecules are approximately 80 nucleotides in length. Their secondary structure includes four short double-helical elements and three loops (D, anti-codon, and T loops). The record is from RNAcentral. RNAcentral also lists the same sequence under 1 other name. Lineage: Eukaryota; Fungi; Basidiomycota; Agaricomycetes; Polyporales; Polyporaceae.
GGAAUAGUUUACAUUGGUAAGUUAAAACGAUUGCUAAUUGUUCGGGUAAUACCCUUGGAGGUUCGACUCCUCUCUAUUCCG